RNAcentral lists this long non-coding RNA (12495 nucleotides) under Gossypium barbadense (sea-island cotton). RNAcentral describes it as "long non-coding RNA (GBAR_LNC021653)". Lineage: Eukaryota; Viridiplantae; Streptophyta; Magnoliopsida; Malvales; Malvaceae. The record is from RNAcentral.
UCCCAACAAAUAAUCAUUUCCCUUUCCCCAACGAUUCCAGAGCUCGGAUAGGAAACCAAUCUGAAACCCUAUUUUCACCAAAGUUCAUCCCUCUCCCCUUGUCUCAUGCACUUUACCUCUUGCCUCAGUCUGGGUCCCUUUCCCAUUUCACUUCCAACGCUCGCUCUGCAUAUGCAAGAACUCUGCCCACUAGAUAAAUCGUUUCACUUCUCUUUAACGUUUCUGUUGCAAUGGUAUGUGAUAAUCCAUUCGCCGCUCAUAUGGUAUAUUUGAAACUGAUACACCGAAAACUGCCUUCUAACUGUUUUAUAUUGUGAAUGUAUGCCCCUAUAACCAAUUUGUCUCGAUAUUUUGACUUACAUUUCUUAAUUGUGGUUAAUGAAUCCCCCUCCAAUAUAACCUCUUCCCAACCUAUUUCUACGCCCAUUUCCAACGCCUGAUGGCAUGCAAUGGCUUCGGCGGCGAAAGCGGACAAUACUCCGCUAUGGGUCUCCGAACGAGAUAACAGAACCCGCCCCUUAGCAUUCCUUGCGACAGCUCCUGAGGCCGACCGAAAGUUUCGACCGUCUUAAGCUCCAUCAAAGUUAAUCUUCACGGUAGAUCCAGAAGGUUUGCCCCAUUCCCCCCCCCCCCCCCGUAUUUGCUCUUGGAUAAGUCCAUUUCUCUGUUUCUGUCAUCUCUAAGAUAGUUUUCGAUAAAACGAGCAAUCUCCUUACCUGUUUUAAUUUUCCGUUCAUGUACCCUGGUAUUUCUAUCGCCCCAGAUAGCCCAAAGCGCACAACAGAAAAUACGCUUCUGAGUGGCCGAGCAUCCACCAAAAACCCAGGUUCGCCACUAAUCAAAACCCAUAUCUGCUGAGCCUAGAAUACAAGUUAACUGUAAUUCUGACCAUACCUCUAUGGACACAGGGCACGCACGAAACACAUGGUCUACUGUUUCGGCCUCUCCUCCACACCGGGACAGCAUACUUUUUAAUGAGCUUCUUAUGUUUCAUGCUAACAAAAGUAGGUAGAUAGUUCCAAGAGAUCCUCCAUAUUGUAAUCUUAAUUUUCCCAGGGAGGUUUAGGCCCCAUAGCUGUUUAUAAAAUUCCUUAGUACUGGUCUGUAAAGCAUAAGCAGUAGGAACCAUAGGAAAGUUCUAUAAUAGUUUAUAAGCUACGUACCAAAAACUCCCCGGAUGGCUCACCACUCCACACCAUCAGAUCUUCAUGUGCCUCAUGUGCCAGCAGAAUUCGAAGGAUUCUAGAAGUGUCCACCGUCGCAAAGGUAUUAACGAUUAAUUCUUCUUUAAUUCUUCUUUCUAUAUUCUUUGAUUAGCAUCAAUCAGAUCAACAAUCAUAGAAUUUUGCAUGCUAUUAUCAUAAUUGACUAAUCUGUAAUUAGCAGCCCCAAGAAUCCAAGCUUCAUCAUUAAUUGAAAUUUUAACACCCGAACCCACCCUACAACAUAAUCCCUCUUGCAAUACACCCUUUGCAGCCCAAAUUCUUUUCCAAGUAUAAGAUGUAAAUUAUCUGAAGGCGCAUUAAUACAAUCUAACCUUGGAAAAUACUUCGCUUUAAGAACAUGGGAUAAUAAUGAAUCUGGAUAGUUUAUCAGCCUCCAACCUUGCUUAGCUAACAAAGCAAUAUUGAACUUCCCCCUUGUUUCUUUGGCCUACACAUUUGACUCCAAGCACACCAAUGAAUCCCCCUCCCAUAUCACUUUUGCCGCCAAGAUCGUGUCAUUAUCUUUUCAAGCUACCUACAAAGAGAAUUUGGCAAUAGAAAACACUGCAUAUAUUGGUAUAGCCUGAAGUACCGAUUUCUUGUGACAAUAACCUUAUUCUCCAACCCUCAAUUCUUGCUUUAACCCUGUCCUUAAAAUUGAAGAAACACUUUUUCCACCUUUCCACUAUAUUUGGCAACCCUAAAUACCUCUCCGGGUUAUUAGAAAAACGCAUCCCCAAAGUGGUCACAGUUUUAUUUUUCUCCUCCAUGGUAUUCGAACUAAAAAAGAUUGUAGACUUAUCGAAAUUCAUGCAUUGUCUUGAACAUCGUUCAUAUUCUUAUAAAAUUCCUUUCACAACUAAAGCUCAUCUGAUCGAUGCCUCGUCAAAAAUAAUACUAUCAUCCCCAAAAAGCAUGUGCGAGAUUUGAGGGCCUUACCUACUGGCCUUCGCUUAUUGCAAAAGACCAUCUUUCAUUGCCAACCGCAAUAAAGUCGAAAGUCCUUCACCGCACAUGAGGAAAAGAAAAGGACCAAGGGGGUCACUUUGACGAAACCCCCCAGAAGGCUUAAAAUUCCUCCCCCUUUUCCCAUUUACGUUGACUGAAUAAGAAACCGAGGAAAUACAUCACAUGAUAAGAUCAACCCAAUCUCUAAAUAAUUCAUUAAACUUAAAUUUAUAGAAUUUGUGAUUUACUUAUAUUAGAUAAUUAUUGCUUAAGAUGAAUACAAUUCCAUUUUAAUUAUAGAAUCAUAUUUUUAAAAUUAAAAUAAUUUAAUCAACACAUUCAUUUAUAUUAUGUUUUGAUAGAGAUAUGUUAGUUUGGAUUAUGAUAUUAACAUUUAUUAAGUGUAAAUUUAUAACAACUUUUAUUUGGAACAUGCAUAAAUUUGUCCGAACGAUUUAAUUACUAGCUUAUUGGGCCUCUUUUUUUUUUUGAAAUAGGGAUUUACUUCCUAAAAUCAACUUUUCUUUAUCUACUUUUGGAACUGAAUUAAAAAUCUAAUUUGAUUUUAGAAUUGAGAUGAGAGAUUCAAUUUUAAUAUGCGGGUUAAACUCCAGCUGAUAAUUCAAUUGGGACAUUCUUUGCUUGUUUUAUGUUGGAAUUUGUUUUAGUUUACUUUCAAUUAUUUUGUUAUGAAAAAAAUUGAUUUUUUUAAUUAAAUUUGAUUCGUAUUGUUAGAGCUCGAUGAUUAAAUAUGAUAUUUGAUAGGUGAGUGGGAACUUUGCAAGUGUCACACCCCAAGUCUAGCAGAUCCAAGAUUAAGGCGUGUGGUUGUGUAGUUAUCUGUUUGACGUAGUCAAAAUCGCCAUGUGGAGUCUUUUGGCGAAUUUGAACAUGGCGUAUGGUACCUUUCGUUGAGUAAAUAAAGGUUUUAGGUUAUUCUGUUAUCUAAUAGAAGGAUAUAUCAAGCGAAGUAUAAGCCAUAUGAAAGUUAUCGCCAAAUGUAUAGUAUGCUUAAUUUGUCCGGAUACUGUGCUAGUUGGGUUGUAAAGUGGCCUAGUUAGGAACCAACUGGAUUAGGUGGUCUAAUAUCCAUUAUAUAGGAUUCUCAUUUAUGUUUCUUUCAAAAUCUAUGAGCCAUCAAGAAUGACAAAUUUUGGACACAAAUUACUUAAUGUCAAGUUCCACUAAAGGGGUUUAGGAGUAUAUAUGUGCGUGUGAAGGUUUGUCAGGAAGCUUCUUCUAGUUUCUUUCUUAAAUUUAAAUAUUUUCUUUUCCUCAUUAAGUUGGUAGCUAAGGUUCUUGAGUUAAUCAGAGAUUGUUCCACCUUCUAGUAAGUGAUAUAGCUCUGCAUAUUAAGUUUUUGAUACAGUAAGGUUGUUAAAUGUUAUAUGAAUAAUAAGUCAUGAAUACAAGGCCUUGCAUGGGGGUUAUUUAUGAUUGGGAUGUUAGCAGAUUAUCUGUAAAUGGAUUUUAAUGGUGAAUAUAUGUUCUUUAAGCAGUUGUUGCUGUUGAGUCGAGAUGGAUGCUCGAGUCUAGAGCUUCGAGCUAUAGUAAGUGAGUAUCAGGUGAGUCUCUAUUUUGACUCUUACAUGUUAAUUGUUUAGGUAAAAGACUUAUAUAUAAUGAUAAAACUUAAGAUAACGGGUGGGUAGGUGAAGCAUAGUAAAGAUGUUAUGUGUGUGUGACAAUAUUUUGUAUGAACUACUUUGUGAAUAGAAAGUGAUUAGUAAGUAUGCAGGUAAAAUUUUUGAUAUAGGAAUGUAUGAAUCGAUUAGCUAUGCGUGAACAAAUCUGGAUAAGUUAAUUCUGAGUAAAACAUUUUUUGUGAUGCCUUUAGUAGGGUAGGUAUAUUGCUAAGUAGACUGGCAAAUCACGAUACGAAAAAAAGUGUAAGACCAUGUGGUUAAGACCCAUGAUAAUAUAUGAUAUGAAAACACUUAUGGUGUAGUCUUCAAUAAAAUGAAAGUUAGAUUGACAGAUCAUGACAUGAGAAUGUGUGUCUAUGUGACUGAAACCCAUGACAAUAUAUGAUUGUAUGAAUGUUCAUGGUGAUGUCUUCGAUAAUGUGUAGAUCGAACUGACAGAUCACGAUGAAUUUAUGUAUAAGUCAAUGAGGGAGAAACCCAUGACACUUUUUGUGAAAGUCCGUCGGACAGUAAACACGCGAUUCUAUAUGUUUGUCUGUGUGACAUAAUCUGCUACACUUUUGUGGCAAGUUUUGUAUCAUCUUAUUGGUGUAUUCGAUGAUAUCUAUGUGGUAAAAUAUUAUUAUCCGCUAUUGUGGUAAAUUUUGGAUAAAUUUUGAGAAUUAUUUGAUAGUUAAGUCUAUGAAAAGGUUAUGAUAUGUCUAAAGUUAGUUUAGUUGAUUUAGUUCUGUGAUGUAAUCGAAUAAGUUUAAAGGGAAGUUCUUGGAAUGAAGUGUGUAUUUGUAUGUUCAAAGAAGACAUCCACCAUGGUAAUUUAUUAGUUUAGAAUAUGGAUGUAUUCAAAUUACGAAAGGUAUAAGUGUUUGUUAAUAUGAAUUUGGACUACGCUAUGAAAGAUUGAAAUAGGAAUUAUUUGAUAUCUGUCACAUUUGAGCAGUAUCAUGUCUUAUUUAGGGAUAGUUGGAAUCUAAGUUUUCAGUAAAUCUGGUAUUAUUAUAUUGUGAAAUGUAGAUGUUUAGGUUUCUUCUAAAUGACCUAGAGUGUUCCUUAUCAGUAUGAGUAUAAUUAUUGGGUUGAAUCAAGGUAUGAUCUGGUUGAUGGUCUAAUUUGGAAAACUAAGUAUGAGAAUCCAUUAAAAGUAAGAACAGUAGAUAGUAUUCGCUAAGAGAAUAGUACUCGUGAUUAUCUGUUCUGGAAUAACCAAAGAUGGUUGUUUGAAGAGAAGAGAAAAGGUAGUAUUGUCUGGUAAGGUCUAGAGUCAGUCAUUUAGAUAGAUGAAAGAUGACAUGUUAAGAAAGCAUGUGGCAUAUAAGCAUGUAAUUAUUUGACGAUGUGAAGGUAUUCACCGAAGACAGAAGUGGGUCAUCUAAAUAGUCAGGAUGAAGAAUUCAACAUGAAAGGUUCAAAGGUAAUUUGCAUUUCAAACUCACUAGGUUUGUGUAAGUUGUAAGUAUUAUGUUUAUGUUUUAGAUAUUAUUAUAAGAAUGAGUUCACUAAAAGAGACUACGCCAGGAAUUCGCCAAGGAAGCGGCGAUCCGUGUUAUUAUGCAUAUAGUGAACAUCUUUGGAUAGUGGCGUAUUGCAGGAUUAUGCCUUGAAAGUCCGUCCUUAGCAAAUUUUGGGUGUUGUAAUAAUUUAUAAUUAGCUUGAUGUAUUAUUAUUUUAUUUUUAAAUACCUUUCUUUAUUUCUUUGAUAUUGAGCCUUUAAAUAAAUUGAUAAGAAAAAUGUUUUAAUAAAGUUUUUAAGUUAAGAAUACAAGUUGGCUGUUUUGAAUUUCUUGCUAAGUAUUUGUGUAGUGACACUCGAGAUCCAGACUUGGUGAAUUGGGUCACGUUGAGUAUGUUACAACAAGGGUUGAAACAGGGAGAGCAAAAAUGCUCCCUACAAGGUGCGUCUUCAGUGACAUGUCAGAAAAAUGCAUUGAAAGCAUGCCUAGUUGGAGGCAUUUUUAGUGCCAUGUCAGCUGAAAACGUUUCUAGCGAGGUGUGUUUUCAAUGCAUUUUUUGACAUGUUAGUAGAGACGCGUCCUGUAGGGAGGAUUUUCACUCUCCCUGUUUCAACCCCUGCAAAGUUCCCACUCACUCGCCAGAUAUCCCGGGAAUCCUGAGAUAAUAUUUUAUGAACAUUUUGGGUUGACCUCCACCCAUCAUAAACUACAAGUGAUCAAAACUUGAUUCGAUUGGAAAAAAAUGCGAACUUUAAGUUAAUCGGAUUGAGUAAUUCGUGUUUUGAUUUCGAAUCGAGUUAAAUUUUAUAAUGCGAAUAACAGAUUGGUAGAUUGGUGUGACUAUCUUUUUGGUAAUUGCCAAAUUAGUCUUAAAAUAAUGACAAAAAAAUUCAGAAUAAUUUCAAAAUUUUAAAAAUAAUAUUAUUUUUAAAACUCAAAAUAUUUAUAACAAUUUUAAAAUUUAUAUAUUUUCACCAAAUAUAAAUACUAUAAAAAUUUUCGUUAAAGAAAAUAUAAAAAUGUUAUCAUAUUUAAAAAAAUCAUAAAAUAAUAUUUUUGGAACCUAACCCUAAAUUCUAAACUACAAAAUUCUUAAAAACUUUAAAUCCUAACCUCAAAAAAAACUUCAAAAAAAUCAUUUGUGGAGACAUAAGGAAAACCCAUCUUGCUAUACAUGCUUUGUUGACCAAGCAGGAAAGUGCGUCUAGCUAGAAGCGUUCUCUUGUCAAAUCUAUUGAAAACGCAUCCAAUAUCUUUCUUUUUAAAAUUGGCCUAAUCCGAUAAAUUUCAAAAAAAAAAUACCCUAGUUCGAUAAUUUUUUAAAAAUUUUAACAUUUUUAGGUAAUUCACCCGUAAGGGAUUCUAAUAUUCCCUCAACUUUUCCUUCCUCGUUUCCCUUGCUUUCUUUUAUUUGAAUUUUUGUUCCCUUUAUCUUAGUCUAAGCACAAUGUAAAAGAUGCAAUUGUUAAAAGAAGUUUAUGAAUCUAAAUAGUAGGAAGGUGUCAUACUUAAAUGUUUACACCUGAUUCGAGACUAUUGUAUGAAGCAAUUUUUUAAUAUAAUAUUAUUACGAAAUUGAAUGUUUUUAAUAUAGUGUUUUGUGCAUUAAAUAUUUUUAAUAUAAUCUUUAGUGUAUUAAGCAUUUUUAUUUUGUUAAGAAGAAAAUUAUCAAAUAGGGUUUUUUUUUUCUCAAAUGGUUAAACUAGAUUUAAAUAUAAUUGUAAAGGUUUUUUUUUUUUGGUUAUAUAUAAAAGCAUUUUUUUGUCCUGCGAAAGCAUAAUGUAAGUGUUGAAGUUGUUUUUAUUGAGUUGAUACAUAUAGAAAUGUAAGUGUUGAAGUUGUGUUAAGUUGUUUUUGCUAAGUCGAGACAUAUAGAAACAACUUAAAACUGGAAAAGUAAAUGAUGAAUACAUCAAAUUAUUUACACGAAUAGGAUCCAAUUCUCUAUCUAUGAGCCUUUCUUAGAAGGUAAAUCGUUAUAAUUUUUAUGGUACAAGAGAUUAUUUAAGCCCAAUCUCACUCACAACUAUUGUAACCUCAUUCUUGUACAAUUACAAUGAAGAAACUCUCCACACUUAGGCUUUCCCCAAUAAAUGCUUAAUACAAGUUGCUAAAAUAGUAUAAUUACAAACAAAUUGUACACACAAAUAUUCCUGACAAUAAACAACUUUGUGCUCUCUUAAUUCCACUUAAAUAUUGUAAAACACAUCUUUAAUGUAUAAGUUUUGUAACCCACGUGCAUCGAAUGAUCAAAUCAAAUCACUAGAGUUUUACCUCAAAUAAAUUUCUAUUCUAGUAUAAAAUAAUAGUGGAGAUAUUUAUCCAUAUCUUUCUCUAAUCACGUAUUCCUUGUAUGUCAAUAAUUCUUCUUUCAUAAUAUCAUAAGUCUAUCAAAGAGUACUUGAAUAAAAGUGUAAUUAAAAAUUAAAGAAUUGUAAUUCCCUAAAUGUAUUUGGCUGACAGAAUGUAAUUACAUUGGAAUUUCCCAUGUCAAGUUUAGUAAUAUAAAUUGUAAUUACAUAGUUAGAUAAUUUAUAAUUUAAAAAAUAUUAAUUACUACAAAAAUUAUUAAUACGAUAAAAAUAAUUUCUAAACUUGUAACUAAAAUUAAAAUAUUCUCUCAUAAUAUUAGAAAUAUUUCAUACAUCAAAGUACUUAAAAUAAUGAAAUUUAAGAUGAGUAAAGCCUUGAAUUUGAUUUUUUUAGAGUCUUGUCAUAGAAUAUUAAUAUAUUAAUAAAACAUAUUUGAGAAUAAAUUUAAUAUUUCAAUUAUAAAAUAAUUACAUUUUUAGCUUAAGAUUAACUUGGAGCAUAUUUAAACAUAAAAUAAAUUAUUUUAAAGAAUUUAAUAAUAUUGAAAAGUUUAAUAAUUAAAAAUAUUAAAUUAAAUAAUUUAAUUUAAAAGGAUAUUUUUAACAAUCACUUUUAGUAAUUUUAGAUCAAGAUUAAAAGUCUAAUAAUUUAAAUAUUAAAUUAAAAAAAAUAAAAAAGGAUAUUUUGAUAAUCACUUUUUAUAGUUUUAGAGUUGAGUCUCAUAUAAAAAAAGAUAUUAUUUACUCUUUGUAAUCUCUAGAAUUCUUUUCUCAUAAGUAGUAAAUGUAACUAAUUGAGGGCAUUAAUAUUGUCCCUUGUGUUUUAUGAUUUAUUUUAUAUUGAUAUCAUUUAAAUUACGUUUCUAUUAAAAAAGAUUCAACAAAUAGUAUUAGAGGCUAAGUUAUAUUAUGUUGUUCUUUCUACCUAACUCCAGGUGAAGGCCCUUGCUGGUGUUGUUAUGCAUAUGUUAAGUAAUGGAUUUUCUUGGUAUUACAUUAAAAAACGAAAGAGAGAAUUGAGCUACAUGAAAAUGAUUCAAUAGUUGAGACUACCUAUCAGAAAGAAGGAUAAUUAGUAAGAAUGGGACAGGAAAAUAGAUUUGAGAGUUAAAACACUACCCACUGAAAGAGAAGAAUAUUGAUUGAUAAAGAUGAAGAUAAAUCAGUGGUUAAUGUUGAAGAUGGAAGGUCUUUUCAUAAGCAAUAAUAAAUGUUACCAAGCGAAAGUUGGGAUGUCAAAGGUUCGGUUUUAAGAGAAGAAAGUUUAGGUGGUGAGGCACCAUCGGUUUUGCAGCUUUGCCAACCCCAUUGAUCCUUGUAAGUUGAGGAACAAAUUCAUGGGUUCAAAUUGAUGAUCUAGGCUGCUGCAACUAGACACAGUUGCAGAAAAAACUUUGGGAUUCUCUUUCCGUUUUAAUCAGAAGGCCUUCAGAAAUAUAUUCUAUUGACUCAUAACCUAUGACAUUUCAUGUUUUUCUAGACAGUAGAACGCUAUUUAAGCAUAUACAUAUAUGGCUUAUGGAAACUUGUAGUGUUGAUCAUUAAAAGUAGAACUAUAAGUACAAACAAACUUUUUCAGUACUAAAUUCACAAUAAAGCACAACAAGAAGCCAGCAACUUACAAUUGCCUGAUCAUCUGGGGAAAAGGAAACAAAAAUUCGAUGACAGUAAUGGUCAUAUAGCGAACAACAGAGCAUCAUUUUCACUCAGCAGCUACAUUCUCGCCAUUAUCACCAUUAUUCCCAUCAUUUCUGGUACCUGGCAAAGUCCUAAACUUUGCAGUUCCAUUGUUUUCGUUGUAUAUCUGUGAAGCAUUAUUGUUCUUAUUCUUGCCCGAAUUCCCAUUGUUGUUGCUGUAGCUCUGAGCAACUUCGUUGUUUUCAUUCUGACCUGCAUUUUCAUUAUUGUAGGUCUGAGCCAUAUUAGUAUCAUUCUGACUUGUGGAAUCCUGGUUGUUCAUGUUGUCCUGAACAACAAUGUUGUUCUCAUUCUGACUUGCUUUCUCAUUGUUGUGGUUGUUGUUUAAGUUCUCGGAAGCAUUAUUCUCAUCCAGGCCUGCAUUUUCUUUGUCGUUAAUGCUCUGAGCAGCAUUGUUCUCAUUCUUAUCUGCAUUCUCAUUGUUGGUGUCACUCUGAAAAGCAUUGUUGUCCUCAUUCCGACUUGCAUUUUUGCUCUUCUGGGAACCAUUAUUCCCAUUUUGAUCUCCAUUGUCAUUGUCAAUAACACCCUCAGCAGCAUUGUUCUCAUUUUGGCCUGCAUUCUCAUUGUUGUUGGUGUUGAUCUGAACAGGAUCAUUGUUCUCAUUCUGUCUUGCAUUCUCAUUUCCGUCGUUGUUUAAGUUCUGGGAAGCAUUAUUCUCAUUCUGACCUGCAUUUUCGUUGUCGGUAAUGCUCUCAGCAGCAUUUUUCUUAUUUCGGUCUGCACUCUCAUUGUUGUUGUUGUUCUUUAAGUUCUGAGAAGCAUCAUUCUCAUUCUGACUUGCAUUUUUGUUGUCAGUAAUGCUCUGAGCAGCAUCGUUCUCAUUGUUAUUGUUGUUCAAGUUCUGGAAAGCGUUAUUCUCAUUCCGAACUGCAUUUUCGUUGUCGGUAACGCUGCCUGUAUUCUCAUUGUUGUUGAUGUUGCUCUGAACAGCACCAUUGUUCUCAUUCUGAUGGGCUUUGUCAUUGUUGUUGCUCUGGGAAUCAUUAUUCUGAUUCUGACCUGCGUUUUUGUUGUCCUUGUAGCUCUGAGCAGUAUUAUUCUCAUUGUGACUUGCAUUCUCGUUGUUGUUGGUGUUGCUCUGAGCAGCAUUUUCAUCUAGAUUUGAAUUAUUACUGUCCUUUUCAGUAACCUCUUCAUUUGCAUUUGCAUUUGCAUUAGUGCUGCUCUGAUUGUCAGUGCUGAUGUCUUUCUCAUUUACAUUUGCAUCAUUGUUGGUAUAGCCGCCACUCUCAUUCUCCUUCUGACCUGGACCGGCAUUAUCAUUAGUGUUUGAGGAAGUUUUCCCUCCUUCGGCAAUUGAAGAAUCAGAAGCAUGAACUUCUUCAUUCUGACCAGCAUUCGAAUUAUCAAUUGUGUUCAAGGAAAGAAGUUUUCCUCGCGUACCCUCUACUCCAGAAUUAUCGUAGGAUUCUUCCCUCUGAACUCUGUCAUUUUGGCUUGUAAAUGAAGAGGCAGAAUUCUUAUCUGAUCCUCUCCAUGCAUUGAAGUUCUCAGUCUGUUCAUUUGAUUCAACAGAUUUAGAGUUACCGGUAGAGGCUGUAGAACCUUCGCUAGCUCCAUCCAUGUUUUCAGUCAAAGUAGCAAUUGCAUUUGAAUCUGACUGCUCGCCAUUGCCACCUGAGUCCGAUUGUUGAUCAUUUUCAUUCUGAGUUGUGUUGGAUGUCGCAUCUGCCCCAUCCUGGUGCUCAUUUGAUUUUGUAUCUCUCAUGGAAGCCUCAGUGCUCUCAUAACCACUCUCAGGAUAGUUUUCAGUUGUCCCAUUUUCCUGCUCAUUUGACUCGUUAUGAUGGACAUUGGCUGCUUCACUGCUAUUCGAUCCUUUCUCCUGCUCAAAUUCAUUUUUAUCAUUGUUUUCCGGUUCCUCCAACUCAUUGGAAUUUUUCAAAUCACUUGUCUCAUUCUCCAUCGCGACAUGUUGGGUAUCAUGGAUUACUUCACUUGAAGCAUCACCCCCUUUGUAAUGUUCUUCUCUUGCUUCUUCAUUAUUCCUGUCUACUCCAUCAUUGACCCGAUCAUCAGAAUUCUCUACCUCAUCUCCGCUUUUCUGACUCUCUUUCUCGCCACUUUCUGUUGCAUUACUCUCUUCCCCAAUAUGCUUAUUUUCCUUCUCUUGACUCUCCUCGGUGUUUUCUUUCUCCUCGAGCUCCGCAUUGACUUCACUCGCCUUGUUUUCACUGUCCUCUUUACUCUCUUCUAACACUUCCUCUCCACUCUCCAGGUCUCCAUUUUCCUUCUCUUCACUCUCAUGGUUCCGACUUUCUUCAUUUUCCUUCUCUCCAUAUAUAGAAACUUCUCCACGCUCGGUUUCCUCUCUUGGCAUAGCAAUGUCAUGCUCAUGCAUUGCAUCAUCAUCCCCAUUCCCUCUUUCUUCAUUGUCCGUUUCAUCAAGCUUGUUAUCAUCUUCUCCAAGCUUGCUUUCUUCCUCUUCUUCCUCCUUGUCCUGCACAUCCUUAAUAAUCGUUUCCUUUGCUUGAGGAAGGUCCUUUCUCCCCAACUUAAUGACUUCAUUCGCGGAUUUCUCAUACUCCGCUUUCUUCUCACUAGAGUGCCUAACUUGGUAAAGCAACCAUAUGCAAAUAGCAACCAGAAGACAUAUUUGUAAAGCAUGCUUUACCUUCAAACCUUUGGAUCUUUGAUUCCUAUGAGAUGAAAUCCUGAACAUGGCGAACUUUCUUCAACCUGCUGGCAAAACACAACCAGCAGCAUAUUUAUUUUGUAAUUAGAUAUAUAGUAAUACACUAUAUCAACAAGAACCAACAGCCUAACAUUAGAGAGAGAAUGCGAAAACUCGAGCACACAUUGACAAUAUAAGCAAUGACAAUGCAGAUCGUCCCAUCCCAUGAACUAAAGCUUAAAUGGUAGUUUAUCAUGAACAGUCGCAUGCUUUCAUAAGUUACAAAUGAGAAAAAACAUACAAGAGAUAAAAAGUACAAUGAAACCCAAUCAUGUUUUUCCUCCGGUUAUUCUCAAAAAGGAAAAGAAAAAUAAAAUGCAAUAUCAAAUUUGUAUUAAAAAUCUGAAACAGAUCAAACCACCUGAAUUUUAAAGUUAACCCAUUUUUUAACACUUAAAUUGUAAAAGCUUGGAUAGAGACUUGCCUGGAAUCCAAAUGAUCAGGAAGAAACUAACAAUGGAAACCUUUUUCUUUUUAGGUGAAAUUCCGAGAAUAGUUCUAUAUCCAGGAAUUUGGACGAACUGAAAAAAGAAAAAGAAAAGACUUCAAUGGAAGAUUAAA